AGUGAACGCUAGCGGUAGGCCUAACACAUGCAAGUCGAACGGCAGCACAGGAGAGCUUGCUCUCUGGGUGGCGAGUGGCGGACGGGUGAGGAAUACAUCGGAAUCUACUCUGUCGUGGGGGAUAACGUAGGGAAACUUACGCUAAUACCGCAUACGACCUACGGGUGAAAGCAGGGGACCUUCGGGCCUUGCGCGAUUGAAUGAGCCGAUGUCGGAUUAGCUAGUUGGCGGGGUAAAGGCCCACCAAGGCGACGAUCCGUAGCGGGUCUGAGAGGAUGAUCAGCCACACUGGAACUGAGACACGGUCCAGACUCCUACGGGAGGCAGCAGUGGGGAAUAUUGGACAAUGGGCGCAAGCCUGAUCCAGCCAUACCGCGUGGGUGAAGAAGGCCUUCGGGUUGUAAAGCCCUUUUGUUGGGAAAGAAAUCCAGCUGGCUAAUACCCGGUUGGGAUGACGGUACCCAAAGAAUAAGCACCGGCUAACUUCGUGCCAGCAGCCGCGGUAA
Molecule: ribosomal RNA, 506 nt
Filed under: uncultured bacterium
Lineage: Bacteria
Description: partial 16S ribosomal RNA
Rfam family: Bacterial small subunit ribosomal RNA
Source: RNAcentral